Carassius gibelio (silver crucian carp) is the source of this 588-nucleotide long non-coding RNA. RefSeq lists it as uncharacterized. Lineage: Eukaryota; Metazoa; Chordata; Actinopteri; Cypriniformes; Cyprinidae. The transcript has 2 exons. The record is from RefSeq and is a predicted model, not a curated record.
GAUAAAAUGGCUGGGGCAGAUUGUGGCAAAGUAGAUAAUCUCCCUCCCCUGGUACUUAGAAACGGCCUAUCAGGGCUCAGUCAUUGCUUUAUAAAGGCUGUGAUUAGGCUACUUGGGAUGCGUCAUUGUUGGCCCCGCCCAUCCGGUACGUGUGCGCUCCCGCCUAACAAAGCUGGAGUCGCCUUUUUGCAGCUUGAAUAGCCCAUUAUUCCUGGCUUCGUUGUGGUUUUCAGGCUGUUCUUGCCACCUGGUUAGACUGAUUUCAUUCAAGUAAUCUUCUGAGACUUGUGCUGUGAGCAACUGUAUGAGGCCCCUGAGUCGGGUGGCUAGCUGUCCUAGUAUCCUGGUGGUGGUGGUGUUUGGAGCACGGAGUGUGGAUUGUCGUUUGUAGUCACUCAACUCACUCUGUGUGUGUGUGUGUGUGUGUGUGUGCUUUUACGAAUAGCCACUUUUGCAGCUAGCCUACCCUGCUAGGGGUAAGCCUUCGUAAAACUGAUUAAUGUAUGCCUGGUCGAUUCAUAUCUUUGCCUGAUCUUUUAAAAGGUGUAUUUUCUACUUUGUGAAUUUAAUAAAUAUUUGUAUACGCUA